UACGAAACAAGCUGGCUGGCAGUCGCGC
RNAcentral lists this small RNA (28 nucleotides) under Bombyx mori (domestic silkworm). RNAcentral describes it as "ovarian small RNA-20949". Lineage: Eukaryota; Metazoa; Arthropoda; Insecta; Lepidoptera; Bombycidae. The record is from RNAcentral.